CAUAGAAUCAGCACUGGUUUUCAUAUGAAAGAAUUUUUUUUUUCACCUUGACAAGUAAAAUGAUGGAGACUAAUUCUGGCAUCUAAAAUUCACUGUCCAGUGGGAAUUUUCACACUGAAUGGAAGUGAUUUUGGAAUAGCAUGAAACACUCACCACCAUAGCAAAUAAGUGCUGAUUUUGUCACUUUUGCCUGUUCCUUUUUCUGGGAUGAAACAAAACAAUGCUCUCCAAAGGUCAACAAGAACAAAGCUCAGGUUUCAUAUGAAAAUGUUUAUUCCUUUCCCUUGAGAUAAGACAUGAAGGAAAGGCCCAUCUUCAAGGGCCAGUGGGACUUCUUAGGUGGG
Molecule: non-coding RNA, 344 nt
Organism: Ceratotherium simum simum (southern white rhinoceros)
Lineage: Eukaryota; Metazoa; Chordata; Mammalia; Perissodactyla; Rhinocerotidae
Source: RefSeq, a predicted model, not a curated record